RNAcentral lists this ribosomal RNA (26 nucleotides) under Eimeria bovis. Its description in RNAcentral is "partial 5.8S rRNA". The record is from RNAcentral. Lineage: Eukaryota; Apicomplexa; Conoidasida; Eucoccidiorida; Eimeriidae.
AAACUUUCAGCAAUGGAUUGUCUUGG